Molecule: ribosomal RNA, 465 nt
Filed under: uncultured Dialister sp.
Lineage: Bacteria; Bacillati; Bacillota; Negativicutes; Veillonellales; Veillonellaceae
Description: bacterial SSU rRNA
Rfam family: Bacterial small subunit ribosomal RNA
Source: RNAcentral
CCUACGUGUAGCUGCAGUGGGGAAUCUUCCGCAAUGGGCGAAAGCCUGACGGAGCAACGCCGCGUGAGUGAUGACGUCCUUCGGGUUGUAAAACUCUGUGAUCCGGGACGAAAAGGCAGAGUGCGAAGAACAAACUGCAUUGACGGUACCGGAAAAGCAAGCCACGGCUAACUACGUGCCAGCAGCCGCGGUAAUACGUAGGUGGCAAGCGUUGUCCGGAAUUAUUGGGCGUAAAGCGCGCGCAGGCGGCGUCCCAAGUCCCUCUUAAAAGUGCGGGGCUUAACCCCGUGAUGGGAAGGAAACGGGGAAGCUUGAGUAUCGGAGAGGAAAGGGGAAUUCCUAGUGUAGCGGUGAAAUGCGUAGAGAUUAGGAAGAACACCGGUGGCGCAGGCGACUUUCUGGACGAAAACUGACGCUGAGGCGCGAAAGCGUGGGGAGCAAACAGGAUUAGAUACCCCGGUAGUC